Molecule: ribosomal RNA, 867 nt
Filed under: uncultured archaeon
Lineage: Archaea
Description: bacterial SSU rRNA
Rfam family: Archaeal small subunit ribosomal RNA
Source: RNAcentral
UCGGUUGAUCCUGCCGGAGGUUACUGCUAUCGGUGUUCGCCUAAGCCAUGCGAGUCAUAUGUAGCAAUACAUGGCGUACUGCUCAGUAACACGUGGAUAACCUGCCCUUGGNUCCGGCAUAACCCCGGGAAACUGGGGAUAAUUCCGGAUAACGCAUUUAUGCUGGAAUGCUUUCUGCGUAAAAUGGAUUCGUCUGCCCAAGGAUGGGUCUGCGGCCUAUCAGGUAGUAGUGGGUGUAAUGUACCUACUAGCCUACGACGGGUACGGGUUGUGAGAGCAAGAGCCCGGAGAUGGAUUCUGAGACAUGAAUCCAGGCCCUACGGGGCGCAGCAGGCGCGAAAACUUUACAAUGCGGGAAACCGUGAUAAGGGGACACCGAGUGCCAGCGUCAUACGCUGGCUGUCCGGGUGUGUAAAAUACACCUGUUAGCAAGGGCCGGGCAAGACCGGUGCCAGCCGCCGCGGUAACACCGGCGGCCCGAGUGGUGAUCGUGAUUAUUGGGUCUAAAGGGUCCGUAGCCGGUUUGGUCAGUCCUCCGGGAAAUCUGACAGCUUAACUGUUAGGCUUUCGGAGGAUACUGCCAGACUUGGAACCGGGAGAGGUAAGAGGUACUACAGGGGUAGGAGUGAAAUCUUGUAAUCCCUGUGGGACCACCUGUGGCGAAGGCGUCUUACCAGAACGGGUUCGACGGUGAGGGACGAAAGCUGGGGGCACGAACCGGAUUAGAUACCCGGGUAGUCCCAGCCGUAAACGAUGCUCGCUAGGUGUCAGGCAUGGCGCGACCGUGUCUGGUGCCGCAGGGAAGCCGCGAAGCGAGCCACCUGGGAAGUACGGCCGCAAGGCUGAAACUUAAAGGAAUUGGCGGGG